Salmo salar (Atlantic salmon) is the source of this 54-nucleotide non-coding RNA. The record is from Rfam. Lineage: Eukaryota; Metazoa; Chordata; Actinopteri; Salmoniformes; Salmonidae.
UGCAUUCACUACUGUAAGUCGCUCUGGAUAAGAGCGUCUACUAAAUUACGAAAA